AUGCUAUAUAAGUGCCCUCAAUACUAUCACCUAACUGAUUCCUUUGUGAGAACGUUCAAAUUUUCAUCUUCACGUAAUUCUCACACUGUCCUAUUUGAUAUCUAUGGCCAAUCUUACACUAUGGACUUAGAGGAUUUUAAUACUGCUUGCAAACUUCCACAAUGGGGUAGUGCUAGUGAACCUCGCAAAUCUAAGCUUAGAGAUUUUCUUGCUAGUAUUACAGUGGGGGAGUCUAGAGAUAUAACACAAGCUACCAUAGGGAGCAUUCAUUUUCCUGCUAUACAUUAUUUUGCUCUCUUCAUAGGUAGGUGCAUAAAUGGUAAGGAUGAAGCAUGUCACAUGUGUGUCCCUGACCUUAGUGUUCUCAGGAGUGCUGUUUUAGGAGAUAAACACUAUAACUUGGGGGCCAUUGUUGCACGGAGGUUGCAUAAUAAUGGUUUAAGUGGAGACUUUUUUGGGGGAAUUUAUGCAGCCCGUGUGGCUAAUUUUCUUGGUAUACCCAUACAUGAGAGUGAUAUGGAAUUGCCUCCCACUUAUCUAGGAUAUGAGGCUAUGGUUCGCCAUUAG
RNAcentral lists this ribosomal RNA (567 nucleotides) under Triticum aestivum (bread wheat). Its description in RNAcentral is "partial small subunit ribosomal RNA". The record is from RNAcentral. Lineage: Eukaryota; Viridiplantae; Streptophyta; Magnoliopsida; Poales; Poaceae.